RNAcentral lists this ribosomal RNA (2199 nucleotides) under Triticum aestivum (bread wheat). Its description in RNAcentral is "partial small subunit ribosomal RNA". Lineage: Eukaryota; Viridiplantae; Streptophyta; Magnoliopsida; Poales; Poaceae. The record is from RNAcentral.
AUGGGUUUGCCUCAAGUUCCUGCAAUUAAGGAGGAGGAGCCUCCUAAGCUAAGUACAUGUGUAGUUAGUCCUCCUUGUUUUGGUGGUAGUGAUAAUAGUGAUUUGGGCAGGCUUCCCACCGGAGGCUCAAGUAACAGGGCAUUUCCAUACCCAUCCAUCAGCGAUCUGAAGAGAAAAGCUGCAUUAGAUUCUUUGAUUGGAUUUGAUGGAAAUUUUGGAGCCAGCCAUGCUGUCGAUGGGCCUGCUGGCUCCCAAGGCUUAAAACCUGAUCCGAGGAAUCCAAGUUUUAGAUCAUGCCCUAAGUUGCGACCUGUUCAGAUGCCUGCGAGGAGGGUUAUUGGGUUUGAAUCAGGUUUUGCUGGUUUCAAGGGAGAUUCUGAUACAAUGGUAGCUGACAAAAUGAAUUCAUCUUUAGUCAUCAACACUUGCCAUUCAUCUAUUGAACAGCAUGGGCCUCAAGCAAGGAAAAGGGUGUUAUCGCCUUUAACUAAUGAGCUCCAUGGACACUUCAGCGGCGAUGCGCUAAAUAUUGGUUCUGCUGAUGCCAAAAUGCAGCAUUCUGAUCAAGUUAGGCAACUUUGCACCUCUGGAUUUCAAGAUUGUAAAAAAGCCCACACUGCGUCUCUUGAUUCAUUUGAAUCACCUACUUGGCCAGCCUUCAGACACUCCAGUUGGAGCAAAACACAGGUAGUUGAUAAGUUUAGCAGUAAUAUAUUCACCGACGGUCCUUUGCUUGAGGGCAGGGAGUCAUAUUCUUGUUCAGAUCACCUAGAGGCCGAAAGGAUUGUAAAUCUCAAAAGGGUUGCGGUAGCUGUCCCACUACCAAAAUUAGCACAUUCCCCUCCACUCAGCUUGUCCCCUCUCGGCCCAAAAUGGAUGCAGAGAGGGAAGAAUGUGGGGGCUCAGAGAGAUUUAGCCAGAGAAUUUGAAAAUGAUUUUCUUGACUUGAAGGAAACAGAAAUAUCAAUACGUGAAGAUCGUUCUGAACAUGGCGAUAGAAUCAGGGCAAGGGAUGCAGCAGGAAAAACUACUAUCUUGCAUGUUAACUUUGAUGCGAUGACCCCUAAGAGGUGUUCAGAUAGAAGACUCCAAAAUUGGGUCCCAGAAUCUGUGCCUGUAUCCCCACGCAUUGGAUGCCUUCGGGGUUUAAGCCUCUUUCCUGUAAGAAGGUCACUAGUUGGCUCCUUCGAGGAGUCCCUUUUAUCUGGUCGCUAUUCGUGUGGAAAAGAUAAGCAGAAUAUUGAUGGCUUUCUGGCUGUCCUGAAUGUGACCGGCGGCAACUUCUCUCCCCCAACUCAGAAGCUUCCAUUUGCAGUAACCAGCAUUGAUGAGGAUAGCUCCCUGAUGUACUAUUCGUCGAUUGAUCUUGCUGGGAGGUUGCCUACUAACAACAGCAAAAGCCCAAAACUUAAAAGAAGCUCCAACAAUAAUGAUUCAAGAUCAUCGAGAAGUCGCUUACACAUCCCAAUUAAAGGGCGCAUUCAGCUGGUGGUCAGUAACCCAGAGAAGACACCGCUGCACACCUUCUUUUGCAACUAUGAUUUGAGUGGCAUGCCUGCUGGAACCAAGACUUUCGUGCGGCAAAAGGUCACUCUAUCAUCUGUUCCUCCUUCUAAUCCAGUGAAAGAAGGAAGCGAUGCCAGUCACACAAAGGUCGAGUCAGUCCAAUAUGGAAGUGAACUUAGAGAAUGCGGCACUCUGUUUUCUGAAUGCUGUGAACAGGGGCAGAACUGCUACUUGACUGAUGAAUCAGAGAAGGGAGGUCACACCAACAGAACAUGUUGCUCAAUGGAAUGUGACAUUAGCGAAUCAAAUGAAUCGAGUCCCAUUGGGAGCUCAGAAAGUCGGACUAAUGCCAAUGGUGGUUGCUUCUGUCAAAUAGACAGUGAAAAGAAGUCUUGCUGCAGACCUUCCAAAGUGAAUGAUAGUUCAGCUGGAGGCGUUCUUCGUUAUGCUUUGCACCUGCGUUUUCUGAGCCCCUUUUCCAAGAAAUCAUCAAGAUCGAUGCAGCGGAUCGAACCUGGCAUGUCACCAGAACCAUUCAAUCGGAGUACUGUUAUCGAGGAAGAGAGGCGAUUUUAUCUCUACAAUGAUAUUAGAGUUGUCUUUCCUCAAAGGCACUCAGAUUCAGACGAAGGCGAGCUCCGGGUUGAGCAUGACUUCCCAGCUGAUCCCAAGUACUUCGACAUAAGCAACUGA